UACGGAGGGUGCAAGCGUUAUCCGGAUUCACUGGGUUUAAAGGGCGCGUAGGUGGGUUGGUAAGUCAGUGGUGAAAUCCCUAAGCUUAACUUGGGAACUGCCAUUGAUACUAUUAAUCUUGAAUACCGUGGAGGUCAGCGGAAUAUGUCAUGUAGCGGUGAAAUGCUUAGAUAUGACAUAGAACACCAAUUGCGAAGGCAGCUGGCUACACGAAUAUUGACACUGAGGCUCGAAAGCGUGGGGAUCAAACAGG
RNAcentral lists this ribosomal RNA (253 nucleotides) under uncultured bacterium. RNAcentral describes it as "partial 16S ribosomal RNA". It matches the Rfam family "Bacterial small subunit ribosomal RNA", at positions 524 to 776 of the family's 1533-position model. The record is from RNAcentral.